Molecule: ribosomal RNA, 450 nt
Filed under: uncultured organism
Description: partial 16S ribosomal RNA
Rfam family: Bacterial small subunit ribosomal RNA
Source: RNAcentral
UACACUCCUACGGGAGGCAGCAGUGGGGAAUCUUGCGCAAUGGGCGAAAGCCUGACGCAGCCAUGCCGCGUGAAUGAUGAAGGUCUUAGGAUUGUAAAAUUCUUUCACCGGGGACGAUAAUGACGGUACCCGGAGAAGAAGCCCCGGCUAACUUCGUGCCAGCAGCCGCGGUAAUACGAAGGGGGCUAGCGUUGCUCGGAAUUACUGGGCGUAAAGGGAGCGUAGGCGGACAUUUAAGUCAGGGGUGAAAUCCCGGGGCUCAACCUCGGAAUUGCCUUUGAUACUGGGUGUCUUGAGUAUGAGAGAGGUGUGUGGAACUCCGAGUGUAUAGGUGAAAUUCGUAGAUAUUCGGAAGAACACCAGUGGCGAAGGCGACACACUGGCUCAUUACUGACGCUGAGGCUCGAAAGCGUGGGGAGCAAACAGGAUUAGAUACCCUGGUAGUCCCAU